AGUUAAUAUCCACAGCUCAAUAGAUUGUCACCAGCCAUGUGCCUAGAGUUAACUGUGUCAAGAAGAGCAUGCUUCAAGUGGCUGGAGUGAGCAGUUCAACUUGUGAAGGAAUGAGAAAUAACAGUGCUGAGACAAGAAACACAACACCCCAGGGAUGGCUGUGGAGAUCCAGGGAGGCAGUGGCCAUAGGGAUGCUAUGUUAACUGCAGAUGCAGCCGUAGGAGCACUUUGCUAACGGCCAACGUGAGUUCAGACUCUUCAGGCUAUUUGGCACCCAGGUGUGUGGUGAGGUGUGACAUAUGGGAUGUAAGGUUUGAUGCCUGCUCCGACACCAGUCUUGCUAACACACGCUAAACAUUUGGCGAAUCAUGACCCUACCUUGGGGAAAAGGGCAUUCUGGGAGAGCUUCUUCAAGGCAGGCUGGCUUCAGUGCAGUCCGGGGCAUGACUGAGAUAGGCUUACAUGGUGAGGAAUUGGAGGAUAACUGGGUA
This is a long non-coding RNA of Mandrillus leucophaeus (drill), 491 nucleotides long. RefSeq lists it as uncharacterized. The transcript is spliced from 3 exons. NCBI's taxonomy places the organism in Eukaryota, Metazoa, Chordata, Mammalia, Primates, Cercopithecidae. The record is from RefSeq and is a predicted model, not a curated record.